GAUGAACGCUGGCGGCGUGCCUAAUACAUGCAAGUCGAGCGAACGGACGAGAAGCUUGCUUCUCUGAUGUUAGCGGCGGACGGGUGAGUAACACGUGGAUAACCUACCUAUAAGACUGGGAUAACUUCGGGAAACCGGAGCUAAUGCCGGAUAAUAUUUUGAACCGCAUGGUUCAAAAGUGAAAGACGGUCUUGCUGUCACUUAUAGAUGGAUCCGCGCUGCAUUAGCUAGUUGGUAAGGUAACGGCUUACCAAGGCAACGAUGCAUAGCCGACCUGAGAGGGUGAUCGGCCACACUGGAACUGAGACACGGUCCAGACUCUUACGGGAGGCAGCAGUAGGGAAUCUUCCGCAAUGGGCGAAAGCCUGACGGAGCAACGCCGCGUGAGUGAUGAAGGUCUUCGGAUCGUAAAACUCUGUUAUUAGGGAAGAACAUAUGUGUAAGUAACUGUGCACAUCUUGACGGUACCUAAUCAGAAAGCCACGGCUAACUACGU
RNAcentral lists this ribosomal RNA (496 nucleotides) under uncultured bacterium. RNAcentral describes it as "partial 16S ribosomal RNA". It matches the Rfam family "Bacterial small subunit ribosomal RNA", at positions 28 to 506 of the family's 1533-position model. The record is from RNAcentral.